RNAcentral lists this ribosomal RNA (433 nucleotides) under uncultured bacterium. Its description in RNAcentral is "partial 16S ribosomal RNA". It matches the Rfam family "Bacterial small subunit ribosomal RNA", at positions 29 to 507 of the family's 1533-position model. The record is from RNAcentral.
AGCGAACGCUGGCGGCAGGCCUAACACAUGCAAGUCGAACGGAUCCUUCGGGAUUAGUGGCGGACGGGUGAGUAACACGUGGGAACGUGCCCUUUGGUUCGGAACAACUCAGGGAAACUUGAGCUAAUACCGGAUGUGCCCUUCGGGGGAAAGAUUUAUCGCCAUUGGAGCGGCCCGCGUCUGAUUGGCUAGUUGGUGAGGUAACGGCCCACCAAGGCGACGAACAGUAGCUGGUCUGAGAGGAUGAUCAGCCACACUGGGACUGAGACACGGCCCAGACUCCUACGGGAGGCAGCAGUGGGGAAUCUUGCGCAAUGGGCGAAAGCCUGACGCAGCCAUGCCGCGUGAAUGAUGAAGGUCUUAGGAUUGUAAAAUUCUUUCAGCGGGGACGAUAAUGACGGUACCCGCAGAAGAAGCUCCGGCUAACUUCGUG